RNAcentral lists this ribosomal RNA (498 nucleotides) under uncultured bacterium. RNAcentral describes it as "bacterial SSU rRNA". It matches the Rfam family "Bacterial small subunit ribosomal RNA", at positions 40 to 507 of the family's 1533-position model. The record is from RNAcentral.
CGGCGUGCUUAACACAUGCAAGUCGAACGAGAGGAGAAGGAAGCUUGCUUCUUUCAAAUCUAGUGGCAAACGGGUGAGUAACACGUAAGCAACCUGCCUUCAGGAUGGGGACAACAGACGGAAACGACUGCUAAUACCGAAUGUUGUGCAACCUCCGCAUGGAGGAUGCAUUAAAGAUGGCCUCUACUUGUAAGCUAUCGCUUUGCGAUGGGUCUGCGUCUGAUUAGCUAGUUGGUGGGGCAACGGCCUACCAAGGCGACGAUCAGUAACCGGUCUGAGAGGAUGAACGGCCACAUUGGAACUGAGACACGGUCCAGACUCCUACGGGAGGCAGCAGUGGGGAAUCUUCCGCAAUGGGCGAAAGCCUGACGGAGCAACGCCGCGUGAGUGAAGAAGGCCUUCGGGUCGUAAAGCUCUGUUGUCGGGGACGAAUGUACGAGCUAUCAACAACGGUUCGUAAUGACGGUACCUGACGAGGAAGCCACGGCUAACUACGUG